UAGAAUGCGCCUCGGAAUGGUGCCCUCAAUGGGUUAAAAGGGAACAAGGUGCUACGUUUUUACGUUAUUCCUUGGCUGUCCUCGCAACUGUAAGCAAGUAGCCCUAUUCAAUUAGACCACUGGUCAUUUCAGGCCGGGAAGGUGGAAUAGAGUGUUGAUCUGUAAGUCAGGAAACCUGCCAUUUCAGCGUCGCGAUU
Molecule: non-coding RNA, 197 nt
Filed under: Motiliproteus sp. MSK22-1
Lineage: Bacteria; Pseudomonadati; Pseudomonadota; Gammaproteobacteria; Oceanospirillales; Oceanospirillaceae
Also listed under: 1 other name
Source: RNAcentral